CAUGCAGUCGAGCGAAGCCUUCGGGCUUAGCGGCGGACGGGUGAGUAACGCGUGGGAACGUGCCCUUCACUACGGAAUAGUCCCUGGAAACGGGGUUUAAUACCGUAUACGCCCUUCGGGGGAAAGAUUUAUCGGUGAAGGAUCGGCCCGCGUCUGAUUAGGUAGUUGGUGGGGUAAUGGCCUACCAAGCCGACGAUCAGUAGCUGGUUUGAGAGGAUGAUCAGCCACACUGGGACUGAGACACGGCCCAGACUCCUACGGGAGGCAGUAGUGGGGAAUAUUGGACAAUGGGGGCAACCCUGAUCCAGCAAUGCCGCGUGUGUGAAGAAGGCCUGCGGGUUGUAAAGCACUUUUAUCGGGGAAGAAUAGGUUGUCGUUAAUAGCGCCAACACUUGACAUUACCCGUUGAAUAAGCACCGGCUAACUCCGUGCCAGCAGCCGCGGUAAUACGGAGGGUGCGAGCGUUAAUCGGAAUUACUGGGCGUAAAGGGUGCGUAGGCGGAAGCUUAAGUCUGAUGUGNAAGCCCCGGGCUUAACCUGGGAAUGGCAUUGGAAACUGGGUUUCUAGAGUGUGGUAGAGGANGAUAGUGGAAUUUCCAGUGUAGCGGUGAAAUGCGUANAUAUUGNNAAGAACACCGAUGGCGAAGNAGCUAUCUGGGNCAACACUGACNCUGAGGUACGAAAGCGUGGGGAGCAACAGGAUUAGAUCCCUGGUAGUCCACGCCCUAAA
This 730-nucleotide ribosomal RNA is filed under the name uncultured bacterium. Its description in RNAcentral is "bacterial SSU rRNA". It matches the Rfam family "Bacterial small subunit ribosomal RNA", at positions 54 to 806 of the family's 1533-position model. The record is from RNAcentral.